Planococcus citri (citrus mealybug) is the source of this 926-nucleotide long non-coding RNA. RefSeq lists it as uncharacterized. NCBI's taxonomy places the organism in Eukaryota, Metazoa, Arthropoda, Insecta, Hemiptera, Pseudococcidae. The record is from RefSeq and is a predicted model, not a curated record. The transcript has 2 exons.
UCUGACGAGAAGCAGAUGUCUUAUAUUGGUUCAGCGAACGUACGAUAUUUGGAGUAAGAUGGAGUACUUACAGCGACCAACGGCGGAACCUCUCACCUAUCAUGUUUUGCAUCUGAUUCUCCAUGACUUACGGUCACCAUAAGUUGACGCUUUGAAUAUUUCAUGCAGUUCUAAUGAUGGAUCGAUCUUAUCAGAAAUAAUUCUGAAAUGAAAGUGAAGUGAUUCAGUUCCGAUGAGAUAUCUUCUAAUCGCAGCCUUUUUCAUUUCGCAUCACAAAUAUUCAUUCUUAGUGUUUCAGUGCCGAUGAAAUCUCCUAUAUUCCAAGGAACUAAUCUGAUUGGGUUGAUUGCAGCUUCUUUCGUUUUGCAUCACAAGUACGAGGAAGUUGAUGGUACUGGCGAAAUUUUUUUCUAAUCAAGAAUUCAUCGAUGCAGAAAUUCCCAAUAGAUGUUUAUCAACGUAUACUUAUGUAUAUGCUCAUUAUAGAUUACCAAAAACGAACAUAAGCUUGAAAUUAUUGAAGCUGAAGCUAUUCUAAGUGCAUCAAACGUUUUCGCGAAGAACAGCUUACCUUAAGUCACCUUAUCUGUGACAAGAAACUCGAGUAAAAAAGCAGGUUGUCGAUAGAUAAUUGCCAUGUUUUCGAUGGAAAUUCAACCAAUUUGAAAUUUAGGAAGCAAUUACUCCCCCCAGAUAAGUUUUUUUGACUAUUUUAUUACCUUUGCACUCUUCGAUUGACAACCAGAUUCUAUCAUCGCUCAACAUACCUAUAUUUUAAUUUUUUUAUGACUUGAAAUUUGCCAAAUGUCCUAAAGGAAGUAACUAUGAAGUAAGUAUUUCAAUUCGUGUUUUGGACAUUUUCCAAGAAUUUGAGUAGGUACUGAAUUAUGUAAUUAGUUAUCAAAUAAAUAGCUUAUCUAUCCUUA